This 315-nucleotide ribosomal RNA is filed under the name uncultured eukaryote. RNAcentral's name for it is "partial 18S ribosomal RNA". It matches the Rfam family "Eukaryotic small subunit ribosomal RNA", at positions 1470 to 1796 of the family's 1831-position model. The record is from RNAcentral.
CCCCUAGACGUUCUGGGCUGCACGCGCGCUACAAUAAUACGCACAGCGAGUAUCACCGAGCUCGAAAGGGCAAGGUAAACAAUAGAAAAGGUACUGUAAUGGUUAUAGAUCCUUGUAAUUAUUGAUCUUCAACGAGGAAUUCCUAGUAAGUAUGUGUCAUCAUCACGCACUGAUUACGUCCCUGCCCUUUGUACACACCGCCCGUCGCUCCUACCGAUUGAUUGAUCCGGUGAAUUACAUAGAAUUUUGCGUUUUACAUGUCGGAAGACGAAGUGUUUUAAACCUUAUCAUUUAGAGGAAGGAGAAGUCGUAACA